CCUACGGGAGGCAGCAGUGGGGGAUAUUGCACAAUGGGGGGAACCCUGAUGCAGCGACGCCGCGUGGGUGAAGAAGUGCUUCGGUGUGUAAAGCUCUAUCAGCAGGGAAGAAAAUGACGGUACCUGAGUAAGAAGCCCCGGCUAACUACGUGCCAGCAGCCGCGGUAAUACGUGGGGUGCAAGCGUUAUCCGGAUUUAUUGGGUUUAAAGGGGGCGUAGACGGGGAGGUAAGUCAGCGGUGAAAUGCCCCCGCCCAACGGGGUGAACUGCCAUUGAUCCUGCCUGGCUGGAAUGCGGAUGCGGUGGGAGGAAUGUGUGGUGUAGCGGUGAAAUGCAUAGAUAUCACACAGAACACCGAUUGCGAAGGCAUCUCACGAAGCCGCGAUUGACGUUGAUGCACGAAAGCGUGGGUAUCAAACAGGAUUAGAUACCCCUGUAGUC
This 441-nucleotide ribosomal RNA is filed under the name uncultured bacterium. RNAcentral describes it as "partial 16S ribosomal RNA". It matches the Rfam family "Bacterial small subunit ribosomal RNA", at positions 338 to 795 of the family's 1533-position model. The record is from RNAcentral.